AAGACCAGGACCAUCAUGCUUAAGCCUUGUAGUCUCAUCUGGAAACUUUCCCCCAUAUAUGCUCUCCCCGCCAGACCCAUCGCGUUUAACAAAAUCACCACCCUGAGCCAUGGAACCCUUAAUAAUGCUAUGGAAAAAUGACCCUUUGUAAUGCAACGGCUUUCCAGUUUUAGGACCAAUUCCCUUCUCCCCUGUACAAAGGGCACGGAAAUUUUCUGCAGUCUUGGGAGCAAUAUCAGGGAAAAGCUCAAAAGCCAUCCUUUCACAAGGAUCACCAUCAAUGGACACGUCCAUAAAAACCAAUGGAUUCUUCUUCUUUGCCAUAUUCUAUGUUCCCUGUAAGAGACGCAGAGCCACAGAGAAAUUAAAAGAUAUAGGGCGAAGAAAAACCUAGGCUCUUUCUACAAAUAAGGGCUAAGGGGAGAACUU
This 429-nucleotide unclassified non-coding RNA is filed under the name Hevea brasiliensis (rubber tree). The record is from RNAcentral. Lineage: Eukaryota; Viridiplantae; Streptophyta; Magnoliopsida; Malpighiales; Euphorbiaceae.